GGGGGUGUUUCUGAGAAAGCAGACGCCUUGCAAGUGGCAGCAGGCCGGUUUGAUUCCGGCCGCCUCCACCA
This 71-nucleotide transfer RNA is filed under the name Gammaproteobacteria bacterium. RNAcentral's name for it is "tRNA-Ala". It matches the Rfam family "tRNA". Rfam says of the family: Transfer RNA (tRNA) molecules are approximately 80 nucleotides in length. Their secondary structure includes four short double-helical elements and three loops (D, anti-codon, and T loops). Lineage: Bacteria; Pseudomonadati; Pseudomonadota; Gammaproteobacteria. The record is from RNAcentral.